UGAAGGAGAAGAAACCUCGCCUCCUCAACAAAACGUCGUCACCACUACUCCGCCAUCAAGCCCCCUUGCUCCUUCACCAAAAAGGACAAGGAUUGAAACGAUCAUUGAGCCUGCCCCUCAAUUGGGUAGCUCUUCUACUCCGCUCUUGGAUGAUCCCAUGAUCAAAGAGCUUAUUCGCAUCGGAUCCUAGUUCAUUGGGUACCGUGAGUAUGCCAGCAGAACUGAAGAGAAACUUGCAGAGGCCAACAAGCUUGCCGACACUCUUGCUCAAAAACUGGAGCAAAGUGAAGCGGCCCGCAAGAAAGCCGAACUUGUUGCUAGCGAAGCCAAAGCAGAGGCUGAUAAAGCCAAGGCAAAGGCUGCUAGUGUCGAGGAGCUGCAGAAGAGACUUGAGGAUGCUGAAGCUGCAUUAAAUGAGCACAAAGCCGCACAGGCUGCUCGUGAAAAGGGAAUCCUCAAACGCCUGAAUUCGCAAAAUCGGCGCUUCAAAGGCCAAACAAACCAAGAGUUUGAUCUGGAGAAUCCCGACAAUGAUCCUCUCCUUGACGCACUUUCUUAUCUGGAGUUUCAUGGAUCUGAAAUUCGUGAAGGCGUGGUGAAUGCUGACGCAGGAUUGUCGAAGCUAUUCCCCUACUUCUUCCCGAAGAAAGAGGAGCCCAAGACUUUCCUUGCCCUUGCCCAGAGCUUCAAUCCAUCA
This is a long non-coding RNA of Lolium perenne, 697 nucleotides long. RefSeq lists it as uncharacterized. The record is from RefSeq and is a predicted model, not a curated record. NCBI's taxonomy places the organism in Eukaryota, Viridiplantae, Streptophyta, Magnoliopsida, Poales, Poaceae.